GACACUCUGGAGAAGCCCGAUCCCGCAUCGGGUGCCGAAGGUGCAAAGCCGGUGAGCCGGUGAAUCUCUCAGGCAAAAGGACAGAGUCGG
Molecule: non-coding RNA, 90 nt
Filed under: bovine gut metagenome
Description: Glycine riboswitch
Rfam family: Glycine riboswitch aptamer
About the family: This family represents the bacterial glycine riboswitch. Glycine riboswitches usually consist of two metabolite-binding aptamers domains with similar structures in tandem. The aptamers cooperatively bind glycine to regulate the expression of downstream genes.
Source: RNAcentral